CUCCUACGGGAGGCAGCAGUAGGGAAUCUUGCGCAAUGGAGGAAACUCUGACGCAGCAAUACCGCGUGAGUGAGGAAGGUCUUCGGAUUGUAAAGCUCUGUCGUGAGGGAAAAAUGG
Molecule: ribosomal RNA, 117 nt
Filed under: uncultured bacterium
Lineage: Bacteria
Description: partial 16S ribosomal RNA
Rfam family: Bacterial small subunit ribosomal RNA
Source: RNAcentral